AAUCUACUAAUCUGCACAACAAAGCAAAAAUCUGAUUAAAGCAGCUCAGCUCUAUCCCUUUCCCUGCAGCAGCCCAUUUUUUCUUCUAUAAAUCAGUGAUAUGAUAACCCAUAUCAAUACAACUUUAGACUUUUAGCAUCAUUUUCUUUUUUCAAACUUUGGAACUGCCGAAAGAGUAUCUAAAUUACCUUCCCAGGCAAGUCUCUCUCUCUUUUCCCAUGCUCUUUGGUAUAUAUUUUCUCCUUCCUUUUUUUUAAUUUAUUUUAAAAAAAGCAGAUAAGAGGACAUGCACAAACAUUGAUAUAUAUAUACUUUGCUUCGUUUGGAAACACAAAAGUGUAUCGUGUUAUAAAGUAGGUGGGAAUUGAACGUGCUCUCAAAGUGUUCAAAGCUUAUAGUUUCUCCAAACAAAAAGUUCCGAUCAAAUUGGAAGCUUCUCUAGUUGCGAUUUUAUUCUGUUGUUACGUACGUAUGAAUAUUGACCCAAAACAAACUAAGCUUUACUUGUUUCGAAAUUAUAUCUAGAAACAUGCAUCCGAUCACAACCUUUUUAAAAGGAAAUUUAUUAUAGUAUAUGUUUAAUAAUUCAGUUAUUUCUUUUUAAAUUUUAUUUAUCAUACUGAAGUGCAUUUAAUUGUACAACUAGCUAGAGUGUCACGAAUUGGUCCGCUAUACAUUAAUACACAUAGAUAGGGUAUUACGAUGCAGUGAUUUAUCGAUAUAUUUUUUCCAGACAUUAAUUUGAAAAAGGAGCUAGAGUGGGGCCACUGAGUUUCGUUUCAUAAUAAAAAUAGACAUUCAUAACCAACAACCAAAUUUAGAAAAUUAUUGUAGUUAAAUAAAAAGCAAAUGUAAAAGACCAUUAUUGUGAAAAUUACUAAUUGCUAAUGUUAAGGAAUUUUCUAGCUAUACGCAUUUUCAAUGACAUCUUUAACUCCCAACUCCCAAGUGUUCAUAUAAUCAUAUUUGAUGUUUCAUCAAUUUUACUCAAUUAUCGUAUAGUAUUUUGGUUUGAGGCGAUCCCCUGAAAUUGUGUAAAUUAAUUAUAUUAAUUGUUUGAUUUAUUUGUGAAAUUUAUUUAAAUUUUAAUUCGUGGAAUUUGAGUAAAAAUUUACUCAUUGUUCCAAAUCCCAUCCUCGAUGAAUUAAAUUCUAAAUUUUGGCGCAUGAAAGGUUAAAUGACUACGUUUAAUAAUAGAAUAGUUCUUUUUUUAUUUUGUAAGUUAGACUAACGAUAGAAUAGUUAAUAUCUAAGGUAAAAUAUCUCAUAUUCGAGUUUGUCGUGAUCUUUAAAUUUGAUGUUGCAAUUAAUUACCAAGAAGAAGAAGAAUAGUCUUUAUUUUUCUGCAGUGCUAAUUAACAUUUUGGAAUUUUAUUUUUUCCACAAAUUAAAUGGACCUAUUUAAGCCGGUAAAGUUACAGUGUAUUAAUUGUAAUUUGAUUAUUAAUGCUGCUUUAACCUUUUUUCAUUGAUUUUUUAAUUAUGUAAAUUAUAUUUAGAUAAAAUAUCAAAUUUAUUUAAUACAUUAUUUAUAUUUACUUUUAUCACUUUAAUGAAAUCAGAAAGUUACAAGGUUGGGCACCAAGCUAUUAAUUAAUAUUUCGUACAAAAAUCCGCCUAAAAAAAUAUUUCAUACAAAAAUCAAAGGUUCACACGAUUACACGUAUUGAAAAUGAUCGCUGUUACUUUUGAAAGCCGAGAACUGUGAUACUCUAAUCCAAGAGAAUGGGACUAUUCCACAACUUAUAAUUAUCAACAAGACAACAAGCUUAUUACUUGAAUUUAUUCUCAUUAAUGUUUUUUUUCUUUCAUUAAAUUAACUACGAACUUUAGACCGAUUUAGCUUAAUUAUUAAGUCCCUAUAUCAUAUAAGAUGGUAAUAAUGAAAUUUCUAAAAAUAUAUAACAUCUUAUUGCAAUAUAUAGAGUUGGUACGUGUAUCCUUACUUUUUCAAAAAGAGAGCUUGAUUAUAAGCUUUUAUAAUCUUAUAUUUUAUAACAUAGCAAUAAGUGUGAUUUGUCCACAAGGGGACACCAAGUUGUGCGAACUCAUGUCUAUGAACAAUGAAGCUUAGGGUUCAAACUCCAGAGCUCUCUCUCCCCCAAAUCAAAAAAUAAAAAAAAAUGCAAUAAGUGUGAUUUUUCAUGACGUGUGACACCGUGCUUGUAAUCUUUAUUAAUUAAAGUUCUUUUAGAAUAAAUAUAAGCUCCAACAUAAUAGGAGCGUUACUUAUAUCUAUAUGGUCCAGUCGUCCAGAUAUAAUUAAGAUCUACGAAAAAAUAUAAAAUCAACGAAUAAGUCAAUAAAAAUCUACGACAAAUCAACUAUAGUUAUCCUCUUUAAGAUUCAAACUCAUGAUUAAAUAUUGUUCGUGCAUUUUAUUAACUUAUUUUGUUAUUUGUUGAUCUCAAUCGUAGAAUUUUAAUUUAAUAUCUGACGUUCAAAUUAAUCACAUUUCUCAUUUAAAAUCAUUCUUGUUUGAUCUAUUAUGUGUGUGUGUGUGUGUGUUUUCUUUUUGAGAUUUUAUUUUAAAUCUCUGCAUCGAUUAUAAGUUGUUUUCUAUAAGUAGGAUUUUNUUUUUCAAAAAUGUUGGGUCGACCUUAGUUUUUUUAUUCUAAAAGACGUUACAAAGCUCCUAAUUAAGGUCGAGCUUUAUCUAAAUUGGACUUCAGAUUUUGAAUGUGCUUACAACCUAAAAAAGAAAAUAGAAAUUUUGUUACUUGAAACACCCUCCGUUGGAUUAUAGCAUGAUAACUAGUAGGGGUUGUUUUAGUUUAUAUUCCCAACUUUCAACAAAUUAACUUUAAUUUAUAGUCUCAACUUUGAUGUUUUUUUUUUUUGUAGAUUUAAACUUUGAGAAAUUAUUUCGUUAUAACCACAAAAUCACACCAAAUUUAUGACAGUAGUUGUUCUUUAAUUAUCGAAAUUACAUCUAAAACAUUGACCAAUCACCACGAAACAAGAGACAAAAUGUAUCUAACUAAAGAAAUUAAAUGGUAAGUUGUUGGACCACUGGCGGUCGGUGUGGUUGGAAUCGCGUUUGAAAGUUGGCGUCAAUGUUACGUACACUGACUUUUAGACGUGAUUCCAACCAUACCGGCGGUCCGAUGACAAUGGGCCACCUACUGUCUUAAGACAGUAGGCUAUAGUUUUGUGGCGAUUGAUCAUUCGGGUGCAAUCGAUAAAGAACAACUUCUAAUUUUGUGGCGAUUGAUUAUUCAGGUGUAAUUUUGAUAAAGACGUCCAACUAUUGUCACAAUUUAGGUAUAAUUGUGGGUUUAAUAAAUAAAUAAUUUCUCAAAAUUCAGGACAUAGAAAAAAUAAAUUAAAAUGAAAAACUUAAAAUUAAGAUCGUAAACUAUAAUUAACCCUAAUAAGUAGCUAGGUCCAUAUUGUACAUAAGGAGUUAACUAAAGCAUGCAUAGGCCCCUAACUGCUAUAGUUGUAGAUUUACAUAUCAUAAUUAAAAUACAUCGUAUUGCAGUAAAUGCAUCUAACUAUAUAUUACUUCCAAUACUUACAUGCGAUCCUUGAGCCUUUUAAAAUUAAAGAUAUAGUCUCCCAAUGGGUAUUAACCUAUGAGUCGGCUUAAUUUAUAUCCAUCCUAAUCCCAAUGUAAAAAUACGAUACUGAAUUAGUGAAUUUCAUAAAGCACUAUACACAGUACCUGUCAUCUUACUCAUUAGACCGUUCUAAAAUAUAUUUUCAUAUUGAAAUAUGUUGUUAAGCAAUAGAAAGGGCAUUUCGCCUCCAACAAACACGUUUUUAAAUAACUCUACGUGAUACAAAUCAUCCUAUUAUCAGGAUAUAAGNAGUAAAAUUGUAUCUUAUGAAAUAACAAACCUUAUAUUUUUUUGAGUUACAACUCAUGCAUACUAUUACUCGAUUCCCGACCUAAGACCCGCUUGAUAUUGUAAUUCAUUAAACUUCAAAAUGUUACAUAAAAAUUGGAUACAUUAAUUAAUUAGUGCUGAUUCCUCAAAAGAAAUAACUCCUUGUACUCUUGGUUUCAUAUUCCUCCCAGUUUUCAGCAGAGGUGUGCGACUGAAACCCCAGAAAAUCUUGCUCUCUCUGCUCAUCUUCCUGAGAAGCAGGUGCAAGAGAAGAAGACGA
RNAcentral lists this long non-coding RNA (4113 nucleotides) under Salvia miltiorrhiza (redroot sage). RNAcentral's name for it is "long non-coding RNA (SMIL_LNC006628)". The record is from RNAcentral. Lineage: Eukaryota; Viridiplantae; Streptophyta; Magnoliopsida; Lamiales; Lamiaceae.